This 507-nucleotide ribosomal RNA is filed under the name uncultured Glomus. RNAcentral describes it as "SSU rRNA". It matches the Rfam family "Eukaryotic small subunit ribosomal RNA", at positions 569 to 1079 of the family's 1831-position model. Lineage: Eukaryota; Fungi; Glomeromycota; Glomeromycetes; Glomerales; Glomeraceae. The record is from RNAcentral.
AGCAGCCGCGGUAAUUCCAGCUCCAAUAGCGUAUAUUAAAGUUGUUGCAGUUAAAAAGCUCGUAGUUGAAUUUCGAGACCGGUUUAUUGGUCGUGCUUUUGUACGUACUGGUAUUAUUGGUUUCUCCUUUCUGACGAAUCUUAAUGCCAUUAAUUUGGUGUUUUGGGGAAUCAGGACUGUUACUUUGAAAAAAUUAGAGUGUUUAAAGCAGGCUCACGCUUGAAUACAUUAGCAUGGAAUAACGGAAUAGGACGUUUGAUUCUAUUUUGUUGGUUUCUAGGAUCGACGUAAUGAUUAAUAGGGAUAGUUGGGGGCAUUAGUAUUCAAUUGUCAGAGGUGAAAUUCUUGGAUUUAUUGAAGACUAACUACUGCGAAAGCAUUUGCCAAGGAUGUUUUCAUUAAUCAAGAACGAAAGUUAGGGGAUCGAAGACGAUCAGAUACCGUCGUAGUCUUAACCAUAAACUAUGCCGACUAGGGAUCGGAUGAUGUUAAUUUUUAAUGACUCAU